CACGGCACAUGGCCUGCAGAAAACAUGCCUAAGCUGGCAUUACUGUCUGUGCAGGUUUUGUCGUGGAUUAUAGGAGCGACGACUACGACUACGAACGACGCAAACUGACUACCUAUCAACGGAACUUAUCUGGAUACUGCAAGCAAUGCGUGGGAGGAUCGGCUGUCAUCAGCGGUGACGUCACCUCUGGCUCGGCUACAAAAGGAGCAGCACAUCCAGGAAGCCUUCAGAGGGCACGGCACAUGGCCUGCAGAAAACAUGCCUAAGCCGGCAUUACUGUCUGUGCAGGUUUUGUCGUGGAUUAUAGGAGCGACGACUACGACUACGAACGACGCAAACUAGCUACCUAUCAACGGAACUUAUCUGGAUACUGCAAGCAAUGCGUGGGAGGAUCGGCUGUCAUCAGCGGUGACGUCACCUCUGGCUCGGCUACAAAAGGAGCAGCACAUCCAGGAAGCCUUCAGAGGGCACGGCACAUGGCCUGCAGAAAACAUGCCUAAGCUGGCAUUACUGUCUGUGCAGGAGCCUUCCGCGAUGCCCGAGGGUCAUACGACGGCUUUUACCGAACAAUGGGAGCCGUAAGCUUAGCGGCCGGAGUCCUCUUUGGAACUUUUGCUUUAUGGCACCGUGUCCGAAGAAAUGGUCACCGCACCAACACUCCUUAGGCAGUUUGCGCACUAGAGCGCAUCAAUAUGUUUCAUUCUAGGAAGCCAAUAUCCUGCCUUCUUCGAUGACUAUUCUCCGCAAAAUUGCUUUGUUUAUUGUGCGGAUAUAGAGAAUUAUCUUUCAGAAAUGGGUGCUGGCCAUAAUUCAUAAAACUCGUUUUUUUUUAAUUCAGGGUGGUUCCUAAUUACUAUCGAAUAAAAUUCUCGCCACGAGG
Molecule: long non-coding RNA, 880 nt
Organism: Dermacentor albipictus
Lineage: Eukaryota; Metazoa; Arthropoda; Arachnida; Ixodida; Ixodidae
Source: RefSeq, a predicted model, not a curated record